UACGUAGGUGGCAAGCGUUGUCCGGAUUUACUGGGCGUAAAGAGCGCGCAGGCGGUCGUUCAAGUCGCGUGUGAAAGCCCCCGGCUCAACUGGGGAGGGUCACGCGAUACUGAUCGACUCGAAGGCAGGAGAGGGAAGUGGAAUUCCCGGUGUAGUGGUGAAAUGCGUAGAUAUCGGGAGGAACACCUGUGGCGAAAGCGGCUCACUGGACCACAACUGACGCUGAGGAGCGAAAGCAUGGGGAGCGAACAGG
Molecule: ribosomal RNA, 253 nt
Filed under: uncultured bacterium
Lineage: Bacteria
Description: partial 16S ribosomal RNA
Rfam family: Bacterial small subunit ribosomal RNA
Source: RNAcentral